This is a non-coding RNA of Ictidomys tridecemlineatus (thirteen-lined ground squirrel), 622 nucleotides long. Lineage: Eukaryota; Metazoa; Chordata; Mammalia; Rodentia; Sciuridae. The record is from RefSeq and is a predicted model, not a curated record.
UAUUCAGAGGCUUUGCUUGGCUCCUUCUACCAUCUGACCUUCACUCCACAGCACAGGGAAGCCUGACAGUGUUAGCCAACUGCUGGAAGUGUCCAUGUGUGUUACACAUCCAGGAAACAGAGUUAACCACUGGCUUGGACCUUGGCUCAGGCCAUAGCUCCAAUUGCUACUUGGCCUCUAAGGCCUUGUAACUGUGAAUCACAGCGCUGCUUUGUGUCUUGCUAUGGGUGUCAUUUGAGACCUCAUCUCAGCCUCCAGCCGUCCUGAAAUUGUGGUGAAGGGGCAAACACAUCAGCGUGGAGCACUGCUGUGAAUCCUAAGACAUACAAGAGAGUGAACUACAUGUAAUGAAGUUGGAGUAAAGUCCUCAGACUGAGCGCACAUGGAGGUAAAGGAGACGCCUCCCAACCAGCUGACUGCUGCCUCCUGAGAGUCCGUGAGAGGGAUGAGAGGAACGGCACUCCGAAACCAGGGCUCCCCGUAGCUGAAGGCCUCUGCUUGCUUUCCUAGUGCUUUGUAGAAUCAGAGAACUUUCUGUGUCUAUCCAUAUGGUUCUUUCCUUCAUUUAAAAUUUCCAGUCCUGCUUUGCUUGUUCUUGAAAGGAAUAAAAUGAUCAUCCUCA